RNAcentral lists this ribosomal RNA (253 nucleotides) under uncultured bacterium. RNAcentral describes it as "partial 16S ribosomal RNA". It matches the Rfam family "Bacterial small subunit ribosomal RNA", at positions 524 to 776 of the family's 1533-position model. The record is from RNAcentral.
UACGUAGGGUGCAAGCGUUGUCCGGAAUUAUUGGGCGUAAAGAGCUCGUAGGCGGUCUGUCGCGUCUGCUGUAAAAACUCAGGGCUUAACCCUGAGCUUGCAGUGGGUACGGGCAGACUAGAGUGCGGUAGGGGAGACUGGAAUUCCUGGUGUAGCGGUGAAAUGCGCAGAUAUCAGGAGGAACACCGGUGGCGAAGGCGGGUCUCUGGGCCGUAACUGACGCUGAGGAGCGAAAGCAUGGGGAGCGAACAGG